CGCGAAUGGCUCAUUACAACAGCUAUAAUUUACUUGAUCUUGACUUCCUACUUGGAUAACUGUGGUAAUUCUAGAGCUAAUACAUGCACCAAAGCUCCGACCUUACGGGAAGAGCGCAUUUAUUCGAACAAAACCAAGCGGCUUCGGCCGUUCGCAGUUGACUCAGAAUAACUAAGCUGAUCGCAUGGUCUUGAACCGGCGACGUGUCUUUCAAGUAUCUGCCUUAUCAACUUUCGAUGGUAGUGUAUCUGACUACCAUGGUGGUGACGGGUAACGGAGGAUAAGGGUUCGACUCCGGAGAAGGGGCCUGAGAAAUGGCCACUACGUCUAAGGAUGGCAGCAGGCGCGCAAAUUACCCACUCUCAGAAUGGGGAGGUAGUGACGAGAAAUAACGAGACCGUUCUCUACGAGGCCGGUCAUCGGAAUGGGUACAAUUUAAACCCUUUAACGAGUAUCUAUGAGAGGGCAAGUCUGGUGCCAGCAGCCGCGGUAAUUCCAGCU
RNAcentral lists this ribosomal RNA (501 nucleotides) under Amplimerlinius macrurus. RNAcentral describes it as "SSU rRNA". It matches the Rfam family "Eukaryotic small subunit ribosomal RNA", at positions 88 to 590 of the family's 1831-position model. Lineage: Eukaryota; Metazoa; Nematoda; Chromadorea; Rhabditida; Merliniidae. The record is from RNAcentral.